Chelonia mydas (Green sea turtle) is the source of this 1081-nucleotide long non-coding RNA. RefSeq lists it as uncharacterized. The transcript has 4 exons. Lineage: Eukaryota; Metazoa; Chordata; Testudines; Cheloniidae. The record is from RefSeq and is a predicted model, not a curated record.
UGGUUGGAGGUUCCAGCCCAGGAGCCAUUACAGCCCUUGCCUGUGGGAGUCACAUGGAGACCCUGAUGCCCUAUGGACUGCAGCUUCAGGAAGCCUGGUAGGAAGUGACCCAGGGAGGAUCUUCAAAAAAGCUACUGCUUGGCAAGCUACUAUAAUCAAUGGAGGAACUGGACUGCCCAAUGUGUCAGUGGCACAUUUAUCCAUAUAACUGUCCAAUUCCUUGUUGAAUCUUGGGGCUUUCUGAGUAGCCUGUAUAAAGAACUCCGGAAAAAUGAAGAGUAGAUUUGUUCCUAGCAGCCAGGAAGGAAGUUGUCAGGCGGAAAAAGGAUAUGGACCUGUUUGCAUGCGAGGAAUCACAGUCCAAGUGAAAAGCCUGUUAUUCACCCAGUUCCAUUCAGGGGGCCUCUUUGCUACUCUUGUACAAGUCUUAAAUGCAGGGAGUGCUCUGGGGCUGGAGCGGGGGCUGACAGGAAGAACAGUCGGUGGAGCUGAAGCUCUCCAAGUGGAGAUGGAAGUGUUUCGACCUAUAAAGACCUGAAAUCUCUUGAUCUGCCUGAGAGAAUCUUUCUGUGUGAUACUGUUCUGUUCAAUGGUGGCACUCAAAUUGGCCUCCUCUUGGUACAAUAAGAAAGAGGGAGCUGCCAAAGAGGGAACUCAUUGUCCAUGAGAGGCCUUCACCUUUGGAACCUACUCUCCACUUUGAUUGGAAACAGCCCACAUUUGCAACCUCUGAAUUAUGCUGCAAGUCCCAUCUGUUUCUCCAGGCUGUGGCAGAGAAAGGAACAUAAAAAGAGCUGCUGUACAUGGGAUAAAGAUAGCUCUUGUUUGGGCUUGAUGUAUUUUGGUUUAUCUCCUGAUUUGAGGAACUUCUGGUUUUACUUUUGAUUUAUGAUAUUUUUAAUUUUUGGUAAAACCACCUUCAUCUGUAUGUGCUUUUUGUGCACAUUUAUUUGUUGAACUAUAUAAAAGAAAUAAAUACACCAGGCAGUUUGCCUUCUCUUCAUUUUUAAUUUAAGUUGAUAGAUCCAAUAUUGAAACAAGGAUAAAGCAGGACAUUUAGUACAAAGUUUUCUCAUUGAAA